GACGUAGGGGGCGAGCGUUGUCCGGAUUCAUUGGGCGUAAAGAGCGCGUAGGCGGCCCGGAAAGUGGGGUGUGAAAACCCGAGGCUCAACCUCGGGCGUGCACUCCAAACUCCCGGGCUCGAGGCAGGUAGGGGAGAUCGGAAUUCCUGGUGUAGCGGUGAAAUGCGUAGAUAUCUGGAGGAACACCGGUGGCGAAGGCGGCGUCCUGGACCAACACUGACACUGAGGAGCGAAAGCCAGGGGAGCAAACGGG
Molecule: ribosomal RNA, 253 nt
Filed under: uncultured bacterium
Lineage: Bacteria
Description: partial 16S ribosomal RNA
Rfam family: Bacterial small subunit ribosomal RNA
Source: RNAcentral